UACGGGGGGGGCAAGCGUUGUUCGGAAUUACUGGGCGUAAAGGGCUCGUAGGCGGCCAACUAAGUCGGACGUGAAAUCCCCAGGCUCAACCUGGGAACUGCGUCCGAUACUGGAUGGCUUGAAUUCGGGAGAGGGAUGCAGAAUUCCAGGUGUAGCGGUGAAAUGCGUAGAUAUCUGGAGGAAUACCGGUGGCGAAGGCGGCAUCCUGGACCGAGAUUGACGCUGAUGAGCGAAAGCUAGGGGGGCAAACGGG
RNAcentral lists this ribosomal RNA (253 nucleotides) under uncultured bacterium. RNAcentral describes it as "partial 16S ribosomal RNA". It matches the Rfam family "Bacterial small subunit ribosomal RNA", at positions 524 to 776 of the family's 1533-position model. The record is from RNAcentral.